AUAUUUACCUGACAGGGGAGAUACCAUGAUCAUGAAGCUGGUUUUCCCAGGGUGAGACUUGUCCAUUGCACUCCGGAUGUGCUGACCCUUGAGAUUUCCCUACCUGUGGCAAACUUGAAUUUGUGAGAGUGAAGGACUGUGUUCAUGCUCUCCCCUAUA
Molecule: small nuclear RNA, 159 nt
Organism: Sorex araneus (European shrew)
Lineage: Eukaryota; Metazoa; Chordata; Mammalia; Eulipotyphla; Soricidae
Gene: U1
Rfam family: U1 spliceosomal RNA
About the family: U1 is a small nuclear RNA (snRNA) component of the spliceosome (involved in pre-mRNA splicing). Its 5' end forms complementary base pairs with the 5' splice junction, thus defining the 5' donor site of an intron. There are significant differences in sequence and secondary structure between metazoan and yeast U1 snRNAs, the latter being much longer (568 nucleotides as compared to 164 nucleotides in human).
Source: Ensembl